UAAUACGGAAGGGGCAAGCGUUGUUCGGAAUCAUUGGGCGUAAAGGGCGCGUAGGUGGUUUUGUGUGUCUACCGUGAAAGCGUACGGCUCAACCGUAUUUAGUCGGUAGAAACUGCAGGACUUGAGGCUGGGAGGGGCUGGUGGAAUUCCCUGUGUAGCGGUGAAAUGCGUAGAGAUGGGGGAGAACACUCGUGGCGAAGGCGGCCAGCUAGACCAGUUCUGACACUGAGGCGCGACAGCGUGGGGAGCAAACAGGAUUAGAUACCCUGGUAGUCCACGCUGUAAACGAUGGGCACUAGGUGCCGGCGGUCUUGAUCCCGUCGGUGCCGGCGCUAACGCAGUAAGUGCCCCGCCUGGGGAGUACGGUCGCAAGGCUG
RNAcentral lists this ribosomal RNA (377 nucleotides) under uncultured bacterium. RNAcentral describes it as "bacterial SSU rRNA". It matches the Rfam family "Bacterial small subunit ribosomal RNA", at positions 521 to 896 of the family's 1533-position model. The record is from RNAcentral.